UUGGGGAAAAAGACAUCAUCCCUUGAGAUAAAAUUAGGUUUGUUUCCUUUUACUCCUAAAAUCUUUUUACCGUGGGUAAAAAGAAUCAAUAUGGGGUAUAAAAGGAACCAAAUUUAAAUUUAACUCAAGGGGUCUUGAUGUUGUUUUCCCCAA
RNAcentral lists this microRNA precursor (153 nucleotides) under Medicago truncatula (barrel medic). RNAcentral describes it as "MIR2670 microRNA precursor family". It matches the Rfam family "MIR2670 microRNA precursor family", at positions 27 to 174 of the family's 200-position model. The record is from Rfam by way of RNAcentral. Lineage: Eukaryota; Viridiplantae; Streptophyta; Magnoliopsida; Fabales; Fabaceae.